AUCUACGGCCAUACCACCCUGAACAUGCCCAAUCACGUCUGAUCUCGGAAGCUAAGCAGGGUUGGGCCUGGUUAGUACUUGGAUGGAAGAAUAAAUGGGUCAACCAGGAAAUUAAAGAAG
This 120-nucleotide ribosomal RNA is filed under the name Neogale vison (American mink). Lineage: Eukaryota; Metazoa; Chordata; Mammalia; Carnivora; Mustelidae. The record is from RNAcentral.